Solenopsis invicta (red fire ant) is the source of this 1718-nucleotide long non-coding RNA. RefSeq lists it as uncharacterized. NCBI's taxonomy places the organism in Eukaryota, Metazoa, Arthropoda, Insecta, Hymenoptera, Formicidae. The record is from RefSeq and is a predicted model, not a curated record. The transcript has 2 exons.
UGGUGGUGUUCGAUUGGGUCCGUGCGCAUCUGGGACCCUCCCGGACAAAUAGAGGAUAACCUUAGAACAUAUAGUACUGGAAGGAUCAUAGCCCUAUCAGCCCCGUGCAUUUGAUUGUCCGAGAGUAGAUUGACAAAGAUGGAGAGAUGAUGGUCCUAACUUGUAAUGCGCAUGCUCCAUACAGAUGCGUGCACGGUUGCCAUCCAAAGCAUUUAAUAGCGUUUUUCAUUGGGAAAACUAGUGCGCACUGAAUGUGCACUUGCUGCAGGUAAUUGAGCGUUUCCGUUGGCACCGUCAUCGCGCGAACCGAAACGUCCAAUUCCCAGCGGUGAGUGCACACUCAGUGCGCACUAGUUUUCCCAAUGAAAAACGCUGUAAGCUAACCUUCAAUUGAGCUUUGUAAGUAUUGAGUUGUAUUGAGUUCAGGACGCGUAAUCAAAAAACCCCUUUGGAAGAAUUGAACACUAUUCUACGAAAUUGUGACAAUAAUGUAUUGCUACAUUUGCAAGGAACGAGAUCAGGCGUCUACAUAUCACAUGUUUGAAUCCAUCAUACGAAUAAGCUUUGCGAAAAAGAUAAUUAUGGCUGCGGUCCACUUAGCGCUUCAAACGCUACAGAGCAUUUGUAGCAUUAAUAUGGUUGGUCCAUUUGACGCUUCGGAACGCUCCCAAUAGCUCUUAUUACGACAUCAAUACGUCAUCGUUUUCGCUCUCGAUUCGCUCUAACUGCCUCACCUCAGGAGAUGGGUUAGCUGGAGCGUUUCAAUAUUUGGCGGGAAAUUACGACUUGAGCCGCAUUUCGAUUUGCGCUCAAACCGUUGUUGGCUUCAUCAAUAGUUUGUUUGGGGCCGUAUUUGUGUUCAUACGUGUUUAAACAUGAUAUAUCAAUUGACAAUAAAAAGGAAUUAUUAUCAUUAACUCUCUUUGUUUCUGCUACGCGAGAAAAAAUAAAUUAAAAUUAUGACUUUACCUGAAAUGACUCUUGAAUUCCAUAACAGUGAGAGAUGGGAUAAUACGUUCUACAUAACCUUCAAUUUUAGGCGUUCUUCAUUUUCUUCGAUUCAUAACUCAUUAAGCAAAAUUCUAUUUUUUCUUCCUCAUCAUCAUAUAUAUAAGAUAUUAUAUCGUUGAAUGUAUUAUAAACAUUUACUAAAAUCGCAACUGAUUCCAUUAUUAAAUUUGGAUAAAUCGCGACUAGUUGAUUCAAGUGCUACAACUGCUACAAACUGGUCCACUUGUGUAGUGAUUGUAAUAUUGGUAACACUAGUGGACCGAUCAUAGCGUAGCGUUUAGAGCGUAGCAUUCAAAGCGUUCAGAAGUACUAAAUGGACCGCAGCCUAAAUGAGGCACAAAUAUACGAAACUUGUACUGUUCGAUAACCAAUAAAUAAACAUACAAAUUAUUAUUCACAUUUGAAUGCGUUUUUAUUUAGUUAAUAUAAAUUAUAAUUUGUCACUUGUCACUUCAAUAUUUUUUUUAUUAUAAAUUAGUUUUUUAUUGACCUUUAUACAUAUACCGUUUUGUGCUAUAAUUUAUUUGCCCGCGCUUCCCUGGUCAUGCGCAUUACAAACUAGUACCAUCAUCUAUCUAUCUCUGUCAAUCUAUUCGACGACACUUUCCAAGGUCCGUGGAUUGGCGUUGGAGGGGAAGGAAGGUCGUUGCAUCCACUUCAACGAUGUGGAACGAAAAUGGCGGCGGCCAUACUUUUACUGCACACUC